UGGCGUGCGGAAAGCCGACCCGCCGGGAGCAGACGGGCGGGGCGCAGCGACAGGCCGGGCCGGGCCGAAAGAGGGAAAGCCAUGCGGCGGGGCAGCACCGGAGCGGUGGCCGGUGGCGGGUGAACGGGGGCGAAAGCCUAAACCGAGCAAAGCCGCCGCACCUCUUAUAUAAAGGGACGGUGGAAAGGCGGAGUAGUAAAGCGAGGAGGAGGACUACGACGAGACGAAUCGGAAUUCGGGCGGGCGGUGGGGGAAGGAAAAACCGCAGACGAGGCGAGGCCGGUAGCGGCGUCUAGCCCUAGAGGGCGCCGCACGACUAAUAGCCGAACCUAGCUGUCCGCUCGCUAGGACGAAGUUGUGGUUGGUGGAGACUGGUAGAUUUGUCGCGCAACCUCGCUGACAGUUCUAAGCUCCUAUGACAACGUGUUACCCUUGUUCCUACUGUCAGUACGCCGCUAACGGACAGCGCGACAGGAGCCGUAACGAGCUCACCUAAAACUACGAAGACGAUAAGUAGCUGCGUCAAAUGAGGAAGGAGUAGUGGUCUAAACGGGCAGAGACGUUUGAUGGCCAUGGAACGGGCAAGACAAGUUCCGAUCUAGUACAGGAGCCGUUACUCCUUGGGACGAAGAUGUCCCUUAACUAGACGUUUUGAGUGUUCAGUCUCGAGAGCAGAAACCGGAAGACAGCGGAGGUGGUCUUUGAACACCCGCGCCUUUCAUACACACUACCUACGUCGUCAUCGAGUGAACGAGGUUUUCACUGUGGUUUGUUGUUACUGUUGUGUCUACUCGGGCGGCACCUACAGCUACAUGAGUUGCCAUGAGUCCCUCCACUACCACACAAUGUAAGAGGAGAAUGAUCUUACACAAGUACAACACGUGUUGUAAAACUUGUUGCCUCACAUAGCGACAAAAGAGUCUUCUCACCUCUCGAGGUCAUACGAUUCAGUGGUUUCUAAACGUGCCUAAUAGGACAUAGUACCGUUGACCUGCUUAGUAAACUUUGGUUACUGUAGAUGGUGGUCUCACUAGUAUGUAGAGUACUCUCUAUGUCACGAGAUGUCUACUGUAGACUGAGGCUCCAACUCCAAGGAACACGACUACUACGGUCUCUAAGAGUGGGAGUACUUCGGAUACUAUACCUUCUCUCUCUGAAAGUCCUUCUACGUCAAAAACUCUAUGGUCCGCAAGGUGUGGGACUCCACCGGUUCGGUAGACUUUACUUACAAGUCCUUCUUGUUUUUCGCUGACUGAGACCACUACGUAGAAGCCGCCUAGGACAAGGUUUAAUACUAGGACUCUCACACUAAUCACCCUCGGUUUACCCCCGUCUCCUGUAGAGUAGGUCUUCUGCUCGUAGUGCCGUACUGGGAGAAUAACGGUAACUUCUCAAUAGAAAUCUUCUACGGUGGCAAGGGGUUUAAGGUCAACGUAGUUAACUACUCAAUGGAUUCUAAGAACCACUUUGACUUAGUAUACUCUACUGUUCACUGUCGUAGUAACUAGGUAUAUGUAGAGUUAACUGUUAUGAGCUUGUUGUGAUACGACAACGUCGCCUGUUUUUAUAUUUUCUUCGAGUCCCCCCUCUUUAGUGACGAUAUAGUUCACCGUACAAAGUGGUCUCUUCGUGUAACCGAUUACUAGGUCAAUGUUCACUUGGUCAUGGGUUCCUGAUAGUGAUACAACGAAGUCUUCUAUUAAAACCCCUAUAGGGGCAAAGUGUCCAAUCACGGCUAAGUCUUUGAGAACGACUUCAACUUCUAUUAGGAUUUUUCCGGCUUAGCUAGCCACUAUGCCCUUAUCUACCUGAUUGUAGUGUUCUAGGAAGGUCAAGUCGAAAGUUUCUAAACCAUAGUUUUCCACGCUUUCUCCGAGUAUAAGGUGGUCAACGACAGUCUAGUUUACCACUCCAUAGAGUCCCAGAACUACGUUAACUCCUUGUAGGGGUUUGUUAACUUUGCCAACCACUUUCCUCUGGUAGAGAAUCGUGUGUCUAAUCGUACUUGCUUCGGAUGUUAGAACGGUAACCAUACUCCUCACCAAAGGGUAGGGGUUGGAACUGUCUACACUAAGAACCUUUCCCGAGAAGCCGAUCACAUUUACCUCUUAACUCCGAUGAUGAUAGCGUUGAGAGCCGAAGGUCCCCCGAGCUCCGUUGAACCGAACUGGGUCCGGGAUCGGGUGCGCGCAUACCCGCACCGCUACUAGACUAUCACGUCUUGUAUUGUUCUUCUUAGAGCGAGCUCUCUUUACAAAGACCGGACCUUAGCGACCUGCCUUCGUAACAAUCGCUCUACCUUCCACUCUCGUGGUAGCUGGACGACUCUGCUGUCUAACUAGAUCUGGCCUUCAGCUAUGUGGAGGAGACGUCCCUCGACCUCCUUCUCUCCUUACGACGUCGCUAGCGACGUUUGGUUCGUGACCGGUACUAGUGGUCCGACGUCCUACUCUUCCGACGUUACGUCUACCUUCGGAGAGUAAUGGUCUCCUACUACCUCCUCGUUCGUCUCAUGCUACCGCUUCGCGAGCGACUUCGAUUGCUCGACGAACGAGUUUCUCUUCUAGUUUAUGUCCUUAACCUUCGGCUCGAACUUUUCACGUCCUGUGUCAGACGUCCACCUCCCGGUUGUCUCUUUCUUCUGUUAGUCGAGGGGAAACUUCUUGUUGUAUCGUGACAUCGAAACGAACUUCUACUCUCCCGUAUGUAUAGUCUUUCAAACUCCUUCGACCUCUUCUUUGAAGUGAACAUGAGGUUGUUGUUAUGAAGUUGUCUAAAUAGUUUAAGUCUACGAUAUCUCCUCUGUGUUCUCAGGUAAGAGAACCGAUUCCUUCCAGUUAGAAGAUCUUACCUACCCCUCCGACUGGAUAGGUGUAAAGUUCUCCUUUAGAGCUCGAACUUAUUUUCUAACUUCUGAGAUCUUCCUCUGGCCCUAAAGGAGCUCGUGUCGUAUUUGAGGGAAUUCUUACCUUUUCUUCCACGCGUUAAGUAUUCCCUUUAACGGACGUUGGAGUCUCUUGAGGCUCGAUAACGGUAACUCUCGUUUAUCGUAACACCUAAAAUCGAGAAUUGUGUUUUGGAGAAGCACGUGGUCUAAGGGUGGGUUGAACAUGUAACAUAUAAAAACACGGGGUUUUCCUUUCUUUAACAACAAUCCAACGAUGUAGAUCCUUGAAACAAAAACCGAUAACUCCCCUCUAAAAUGGGUUUUCUUGAACCGUUCAUAUGACCGUACAUAAACAAAAGAAAAGAAACACUCUGCUCAGUCAAACAGAACCUAUACCUGUAUCAUCACCCAUUGUUGUGUGGUUCACCGGAUGACUAAAACAAUAUUUUGUUCACUAGUCAUAAACCCUGA
Molecule: ribosomal RNA, 3358 nt
Filed under: Triticum aestivum (bread wheat)
Lineage: Eukaryota; Viridiplantae; Streptophyta; Magnoliopsida; Poales; Poaceae
Description: partial small subunit ribosomal RNA
Source: RNAcentral